Molecule: long non-coding RNA, 1166 nt
Organism: Heterocephalus glaber (naked mole-rat)
Lineage: Eukaryota; Metazoa; Chordata; Mammalia; Rodentia; Bathyergidae
Source: RefSeq, a predicted model, not a curated record
UGCUGCAGAUGGUUUUCCUGAUGCUGUUGCGGUCGGAGGAGGAGCUCGGGGCCUCACUAUCUCUGGGAAUGGCUGCUGUUUCAUCAGGGGAGCUCCAACCUUUACCAUGAGCAUCACUUCCUGCCUCCAAUGUGGAUCCCUCACGUUGAUGGCGCAAAUUCUUCAUCUGACUGGAGUAGGUUUUCUGGCUUCCACAACUGGCCUUUGGGCUUCCAGGUGCAGAACUUCAAUAUGAACAAGAAUGAGACAUUGCCGUGGGCUCUAGACCACUGGCUGGACUUGAGCAGGAGAUUGCCUUGGACUCUAAGUCUUUAGCUGGAUUUGUGUGGGAAAUUGCUGGGAUCCAGGCCCUCAGCUGAAUCCUCUGGGCUUCUAGUGUGCAGUUACUCACUUUGCACUCCUUUGCAUUUGACUCUUUGGCACAGGAAACUGUUGGCCUGAAUGAAGGUGGGAGCCUCUUCAUCUCUCCUCACUGCAUCUCCAGACUACUCUAUCCGGUCUUCACCCAUAAGAAAGUGCACAGCCACAGGUCUGGACUUUGAGGCACAAUAAGAUGUUCGAAGUUCAUAUUAACACCUCCUCCAUGCCAGCCAUAGAACCGGCCAUUUUUCUAUGGAGCCCUAUCUUCUUUGGAAGAUUCCAUGCUAUAAGCCUACCCAAAAUGACAACGCCUGGCACCUAUGGAGGGCCUUUAGAUAGACCCUCUGUAGAGUAACUGACUGCUGAUCACAACUACAACUGAUCACAACUUCAGCCAGAAGUAGCCAGAAUGGUCUUUGCUCUUUGCCCCCUCACACCAGUUAGAGGUUCUUCAGAGGGGGGAAUAUUGCAGAUAGGUAAGUUUAUUAGAUAUCUUGUAGGCAGAUAGACAGAGCCAGCCCAGGAGGAGCCAACAUGGCAGACAAUCAAGACACAUUCACUGAAGGCCAGCAUUGUAAGAGAAGAGAAACUACUACACCCAGGUGCUUCCCCUAAGGAUAAAUAGGUAUCAGCCACAUGGGUGGGAGACAAAGAUCUUCCAGGAAAGAUCCUUGACCCACCCUUUUCCACUAAAAAUCCUUGCUCAUUCUUUGUAUGCUUGCUAUGUGACUUGUUUCCCCAUUGGAUCCCUAUUUAAUCAGUAUUACCUAAGCAACUAUACUUGUCAUAAUCUUAUUGGUUUUCAU